GCCGGGGUGGCGGAAUUGGUAGACGCACAGGACUUAAAAUCCUGUGGGCGCUUGCGCCCGUGCCGGUUCGACUCCGGCCCUCGGUA
RNAcentral lists this transfer RNA (86 nucleotides) under Ignavibacteria bacterium. Its description in RNAcentral is "tRNA-Leu". It matches the Rfam family "tRNA". Rfam says of the family: Transfer RNA (tRNA) molecules are approximately 80 nucleotides in length. Their secondary structure includes four short double-helical elements and three loops (D, anti-codon, and T loops). Lineage: Bacteria; Pseudomonadati; Ignavibacteriota; Ignavibacteria. The record is from RNAcentral.